CGCUGCCAGAUCAUGAGGUUCGAAGGGGAUGACGAGCCUGUACUGCUGGAUACGGGCAUGAUUGUGACUGUGUUGAACUGGAACCACAUGGGUAGUGUGUUGGCCAUUGGUGGGUCACAGCGCUACGCAGGAGCAGACAAGAACGUCAAUGUCGUUCAGUUCUAUACACCGUAUGGGGAGCAUCUACGCACACUAAAGGUGCCAGGUCAGAAACUCUCCUCCUGCUCAUGG
Long non-coding RNA from Priapulus caudatus, 231 nucleotides. RefSeq lists it as uncharacterized. The record is from RefSeq and is a predicted model, not a curated record. The transcript is spliced from 3 exons. Lineage: Eukaryota; Metazoa; Priapulida; Priapulimorpha; Priapulimorphida; Priapulidae.